Long non-coding RNA from Oncorhynchus tshawytscha (Chinook salmon), 322 nucleotides. The record is from Ensembl. NCBI's taxonomy places the organism in Eukaryota, Metazoa, Chordata, Actinopteri, Salmoniformes, Salmonidae.
GGACGUGGUGACUGUAGAGACGUGGUGAGUGUAGGGAGGUGGUGAGUGUAGGGAGGUGGUGAGUGUAGGGACGUGGUGAGUGUAGGGAGGUGGUGAGUGUAGGGACGUGGUGAGUGUAGGGACGUUGUGAGGAAAACCUCCUGUUCCUAGUUGUGGUGAGUGUAGGGACGUGGUGAGUGUAGGUACGUGGUGAGUGUAGGGAGGUGGUGAGUGUAGGGAUGUGGUGAGUGUAGGGACGUGGUGAGUGUAGGGACGUGGUGAGUGUAGGGACGUUGUGAGGAAAACCUCCUGUUCCUAGUUGUGGUGAGUGUAGGGACGUGGU